GGUAGUUUUUGUUUGAAUUCUGAAAUUCUGAUAACCUGGAAACUUUUAAAAUUAAGCCUAUGUGUUGGCUCUGCGUUUGGUUCUGCAAGUGAGUCUUGAAUUGAUCCACCGUCCACGGGCUUUAAGUUUAUAAUGGAAAUGCCACUCUCCACAAAUCAAGCCAUGCAGAAGAGACACGAGUGGUGUGGACGGGUACUAAUUACUGCUCUGUUUCAAGAAGGCACAAUGAAGCACCGUUGUGAUGAAGGUAUGGGCCUGUGGCCCCUUGUGUAGACAGUAGCUGGUGCCUCUUGUCAACCCCAGGUGGCUCCACAGUGCUGUUCCUGUUGUCCUUCUCCAUGCUGUUCUGCUUCUGCUCGGUGGGUGCUGCUCCGAAGGCCGGUGAGCAGUGGGAAAGCCUGCAGGGCCUGAGAGGUGGCUUAUUGGUUAAUAGCACACGGUGCUCUUCCACAGGAUCCAACUUUGAUUCCCAGGACCCAUGCGGCUCACAGUUCUCUGUUACUCCAGACCUACAGGGAUCUGAGUUCUCCGAGGGCACCUGUAUUCACAUGUGUGCAUGAGCACACACAGAGAUAUUUAAAGGGGUGUGUGAAGAAAUGGGUCAGGUUUGGUUUCCAGCACCCUCACAGUGGCUUACAACUGUCCAGUUCUACUGAAUCCAGUGUCCUCUUUUGGUCUCUAGGGGCACCAGGCAUGCACAGGCAAAAUACUCACACACAGAAACAAAUCCAAAAAACCCAAACAGAACAAAACAAAGCAAAGCAAAACCACUGGUAGUAAAACACACACACACACACACACACAUACAAAGAACAAUAAAAAACACAAAACAAAACAAAAUCCCAGGCAAAUAAAUCAUAAUACUUGCUUU
This is a long non-coding RNA of Apodemus sylvaticus (European woodmouse), 871 nucleotides long. RefSeq lists it as uncharacterized. The transcript has 4 exons. NCBI's taxonomy places the organism in Eukaryota, Metazoa, Chordata, Mammalia, Rodentia, Muridae. The record is from RefSeq and is a predicted model, not a curated record.